GAGACAGAGUGGCAAUGAGUGCUGUGUGUAGCAUUGUGUUGGAGCUGCAAUCCAUUCUAAAUGAAGUGUAUCACCGAGGCAGAAAGGGAAAGGAAAAAUACAAUGGCUGUCACCAUGCCAAUUGACCAGGAAUGAAAAUAUCCAGGAUUACUUCAAUAUCUAUGUGAUUUUUUUUUUUAAAUGAGAAGAAUUUGUAGUUUCUACAAUGAUUGGGAUUUUUUUUUUAAAUCCAGGAACCGCGGUUCCCUCGACCUGAAGGCAGGAGUGCAUCAUUUCACUUGUUUCCUACGUUAGUGUUCUCAGCACCGUUUGAUGCAGGAUUUUGGAUUGUGGUGGUCAUUGUAUCAACACCCUCGCGUAAUAUAUGUUGGAAGGAACUGCGGAUGCUGAUUUAAACCGAAGACAGACACAAAAUAAGCUGGAGUAACUCAGCGGGUCAGGCAGCAUCUCUGGAGAAACGGAAUAGGUGACGUUUCGGGUCGAGACCCUUCUUCAGAUUCUGUUAAUGGGGGAAAAAAAUUACAUCUCAGAAUUUUUCUUGUUGGAUUGGAAUCGUUUUCAUUUGGAGACGGUAGCAUGGUUUUUUUUUUCAGCAAAAAAAUGUCAUGGUCAGUGCAGCGUGGAUACAAUCUGAAUCAAUGGAUUACACUAUUACCAAGAUGUGUUCUCUCGGGGGAAAAUAAGUGGAAUAUGUUACAAGCUUUUGGAUGCUUCUGUCAUUUGGUUCAACAUCGCCAGUGAAUGGGUUGCAUUGGAUAUCCGAGGAUAUAUUGUAUCCAGAUGAUGUAUUGAAAAGCCUGGGAUGUAUACAGGAUACCCUGUGGAUUUAAUCUCGGAAUAACAAAACUGUAUUUUGCCACCUUUGGAAUGGGCUUGGUAAAAGGUACAUUGCUGUUUGACCUCAACUAAUGUGACAACGGACAUCCAAUUGAAAUGGUUAUUUCACAUGCAAGACCACCCCUGCAAAGGCCUUCAUAAGAUUGCUGCUCCUCAAUGAUAGAGGUCUUGGCCGUCAAUCGUGGCACAGUGGGCAGCGACCGCUUAAUAAUGAAAGCUGAAACUCGAUCUGCACUCCAGAAUAUCCAAAACGAACACCACAACAACGUCAAAAAAAUCAUUUCAACACCUCCUCAUUUUGACCUCCAUCUGCUCAGCUUUAUAAAAUGCCCGAGCUUAACUCUGCAAUGGACACCGUUUCCAAUGCAACAAACUUACUGGGAACAUGUCAGAUGAACAAAACCUGCUCAAAGUAGAACGAUCUCAGCAAAGGUUUCCUUGAACGGAGUUCAAAAUUUUAUAGGAUUUCAACAAUUAAAAAAUAAAUUAAUUUUUCUCCAAUGUUAAGGUCACCAAGCAGAAAUUCUGCAAGGAAAUUACACAUUUGUGUCAAUGAAACUUAAAUCUGAUGUGAUUUGCUUUUUGAAAUGAAUUAGAUCUAUUUAUGGGCAUAGCAAGUACAUUGAAUUUUGAACAAAAAUGA
Amblyraja radiata (thorny skate) is the source of this 1480-nucleotide long non-coding RNA. RefSeq lists it as uncharacterized. The record is from RefSeq and is a predicted model, not a curated record. NCBI's taxonomy places the organism in Eukaryota, Metazoa, Chordata, Chondrichthyes, Rajiformes, Rajidae. The transcript has 3 exons.